CUGGUGUGGAUUUUGAUCUCUUCGAGUAUUCUGGUAUGUUUUAACGUGUUGCAAUCCCCCCCCCCUUUUUUUUGCAAACGGCGCUGCAAGCGGCGUAUAAAUCGCGCAAAAAACAAACGAAUGCAAAAUAGAGAGUCGCGCCUCCCUCCUCUUCCUUCUCUGAGGGGCGAGGAGGAGCUCGCGUGUGGGGCCUCCUCCCGGCCAGGAAGAUGUGCAGAGACACGCCGCUCGGAGACGAACUGCAACCGGCAAGGGCGGGAGGAGGAGAAAAAGAGGUGGGGGGGGGUAAGAGAGAGAGCGCGCGCGAGAGAGAAUGGCUCACUGCAGGCAGGCGGGAUCUGGCUCCGCUGGAAAGGUGCCCUGAACAAAAACCCAGCGCGAGCGGGCAGGUGAUGACAACAUCGCCGCGCUAUUUAUGGCGCGUUGUGACAAUCGCGGCCUUAUAUGGGCAAGGCGAGGGAGACCGGCGGGACGCGCGCUCUCGCCCUUGCUCUGGGAAGAGGGAGGCGCCUCGAGGGAGGGAGGCGCGCGCGCUCCCGAGCCCCGCGCCUGUCCGCUUGAGAGAAAACCCACUGACCUCGUUUCCUUGGGAAAAUCCCUCUCAAAUCCAGCUGCGACGAGAGGCGCCCACCUGACUCACACACUGUGAGUGUGCCGGAUUUACGUAUAAGCUAAACAAGCUAUAGCUUCGGGCACCACUCUCUUGGGGCUCCCCCCCCGAAAAUUAAAGGGGGGGAACCUGGAUGUACAUUUCCAAAAUAUAAGAUAAAAAAACAAAUAAAAUAAAACCUACAUACGGCAACAGUGGCAAAUGGCUUUAGAUACCUAUUAGGUCCAUAAAUUACCAUAUGGCAUAUGUUCAACACAAAAAAGCGACAAUUUGUUGUUGACAAAGGACAGCUGGACAUAUAAAGGGCCCCAUUACCUUCAGUAGCUUAGGGCCUCAUCAAACCUAAAUCCGGCCCUGCUCACCGACCCACCCUGUGAUCACCUUUUCCCCUACCUGGCCGCAAAGCACCACCGGAUGCGCUGGCUUCGUUGAUGCAACUGGAUGCAGGGGUGGGGUGGGGUAGAUCACCCUCUCCUUGAGGGAGAAAGAGGCUUCGCCAGAAAAUAGUAUUAUUAAAAACAAACAAACAAACAAAAAACCCUUAGGCCCAGAUCUGGUUGCCAACAGAGAUUACAACACAAAGCAAGGAAGCUGUACUUUGCUUGCACUAAUGACUGCCGAAGGAAAGGGCGAGGAAGAGGCAUAGAUAAGCCACAUGCUCGCCCAGAGGUGGGCAAGGGUGGCCCUCCAUAUGUUGAGGGAUGCCAACGCCCAUCAGACCCAGCCAGCAUGGCCAUCAGUCGGGGAUGAUGGGAGCUGUAGCCAACAAUGUCUGGAUGGGGCAACGGUUAUGAGUUUCAAGAGUCGUCUGCCCUCCUAGUAACCCACCCAAGAACAUCACAGCUCUUUGGAAAGUUUAAUUUCCCAAAAGGUUGGAAAGAUUGCGCAAAGUGGGUGGAGUGGGGCUGACUGGAUUCCCUCAGCAGCAAGCGAAAGGCGUUUUGCAUAUGCUCAUAGACAGGCAUAUGUGUGGCAUGAUGGGAAAGCGCCCGACUCAUUUGAUAGUAGAAGUAAGUUGUCCUCUCUCAGCAUCCCAUCUGUAAUGGGGAUGAUGACCCGUCUAAUUUACAGGGUUGUUAAAAGAUUGCAGCAUAAAGAUACUUAAUAGUUUCCAGGUUUGAGUCCUGGCAUGAAAACAUAUUUAGGGACAAAGCCCCAGUUCAAUAUAGUGUUGCAAUCCAUUGAUGUCAGCGGGAUUAACAACAAAGCCAAUAGGGUCAAGAAGCCAGUUGGAAAGUCCAGCUCUUGGAAUAUAAUGACUACUAUUUCUAAACACUCCCACCUCCCUCUGAAUUUUUGCCAUUUACUUUUUUGGGAGAUAACUGGCAAGACUCCUAGAGCUGAAAGGAGGUAGAAGGUUAGCAAGUCAAACCACUCUUCCCUGAAGUCCUUUUGUAUUGGGGCUCCCAACGAUUGAAUAACACAAUUCAAAAGACUAUUGCUGUUAGCCUGCCAUAGCAAAGCAAAACAGCCUUAAUAGCUAACACAUUUUUAGUAGUAUGAGAUUUUGUAGACAAGGUCUUGCUUCAUCAGAUGCAAUUAAUGAAGUGGAAUCUUGCAAGAGCAACUCCACAAGAAAUUUCAUGUCAUAUGUUUCUAAACUUGUUUCCUCAAAAGUAAGCCUCUCUGGGUUCAGGUUUAAGCAGAAGCUCCACUUUGAAAGCUGAGGAACCUGAAGAAUUUGCUAGUUGUUGUUGUUUUUAAGUCAAAACACUUUGUAUUUAAGGGUAAAGACUUUCUAUUGGGCAAUAAUGAAGAGUACUGCUUAUAGAAGCCCAAAGUUAUUGUAACAGUACCACAAGCACAUAGCUUCAAUAACAUAUACCGUAUUUUUCGCCCUAUAGGACGCACUUUUUCCCCUCCAAAAAUGAAGGGGAAAUGUGUGUGCGUCCUAUGGGGUGAAUGCAGGCUUUCGCUGAAGCCUGGAGAGUGAGAGGGGACGGUGUGCACCCACCCCUCUUGUUCUCCAGGCUUCAGGAAGCUAUCCGCAAGCCUGGGGAGCCCGCGGGAGUUCCCACCGGGCUCCCUAGGCUUGCGGAUAGCAGCCUGCAUCUCGAAACCUGGGGCGCAAAGCGGAGCGCGCUCCGGGCUUCGCGCAGCUCUCCGCAAGCCAUGGGAGCCCGGCGCGACUUCGCGCUGGGCUCCCACGGCUGGCGGAGAGCUGCCUGUUCUGGGGGCUGGGGUUGGGGGAAGCUCGGGCUUCCCCCGCCCCAGCCCCGUGCCUGGGGGGGAGAAAUAAUUCCCCCCCUUUAUUCCCCCCCCCCAAACCUAGGUGCACCCUAUGGGCCGGUGUGCCCUAUGGGGCGAAAAAUACGGUAAGCUGUAUUUUAAAAAACACCAUAGUACUAAGCCUUAACUUGUUAGAAAAUGCCUUCCUGGUCAUAAAUAUGACAAAGCCUGAGCAUGAAGCAAAGCACAUCCAUCAGUUCUCUCUGCGUCCCCCUCCAAAUACUAAUUAGGGCACAAGUCCAUUGCCAACUGACAACUAAAACUCAACCUGCUCUGCUCCUGUUCUUUUAACAGUUUGGCAUGCAGAAAUCAAUAGAGGAUUUUCUGGGCCUGGCUCUAAAACACUUAUUGCCUGCUAAUUGCUGCAGAUCCCACUGCUGUUAAAGCUAGAAAGGCCAGCUCAAAACCAGGCAGCCUUACAAGUGCAUCCCACCCAGUGUUUUGCCUUGAGUUGCAGAGCAUAUGAAGUAAAGGUUUUUUAAGGGGUGGUCCUGUUUGAAGCUGUGUGAACACAUUCUGGAUAUGCAAGAACGAAUGCCUGUGUGGCUUUGUCUAUGUUAUCUCGGCUCAAGCAGCUCUGCAGCUGGGCAGCCACAGAUCUAGUUUCCUUUUGUGUCCCCGCAGAGAUGUUUACAUUUAAGCUAAGGUCUGGUCAGGUAGCUUCUACAUUACUCAUCUGCCAGUUAUGAUUAUGCUCCUGCAACCUUGAAAUAGUAUAUAAACCUUGCUUCCAGCUAGUGGGGAGAGAUGACAGACAUCACUGCUUUUGUAUACCUCUACGGGCCUUUGCUGCUCUCAUCCCACAGCUGUGAAGCACAACCUUUCAAAGCAUGCAGAAAAAAAUAAGUAGACUAAUAGACUAACCAAAUGUUUUAAAAAUGGCAUCAGUGUGAGAGAAAGAAUCCAAGACACUGAGUGCUGAAGCCCGUGGUAAUAUAUACUAUAUAAUUAAUGUCCUACUUGAUAGUCUCUCUUUGGUGUUCCAGCACCUACAGCAGAGCUUAAGAAAAAAGAAAUGAUGUAAAAGGGUUUCUCUGAAUCUCUUAAGAGUGGUUUGGAACCACUGAUGUAUGUCACUGAACAAUAAAGAGAAAGACUUCUGUGAUUGGACAGCAAGUUGCUGUUGUGGCGCCCUCCUUGUGGAAUGCCCUCCCUUCAGAUGUCAAGGAGAUAAAUAACUAUACAACUUGUAGAAGACAUCUGAAGGCGGAUCCGUAUGGGAAAGUUUUUAAUGUUUGGUGUUUUAUUAUGUUUUUGUAUGUGUUAGGAGACACCCAGAGUAGCUGGGGCAACCCAGUCAGAUGGGCAGGGUAUUAACAACAACAAUAUCCUUUUGCAGCAGCUGAAGUACAAAAAGCCACCACUACUCUUAGCAGUACAAUCUCAGGACUCAGCUAUUGUGAUGUGAAAUGCAUCUUUGCAAAUAACAUCAGCUGCAGAGGGCUGAUAGAUAAUUAAGAUGAACAGAGCACAGAGUGGGGUGGUAAGUGUUAAAUUCAUCCAUGGUGCUUGCUCUGAGAUCCUGUUAAUUAUUAGUUCAGGUGGAAUUGACGGAACAGCUGAUGGAAUUCACUUUUUUUAUUUUAAAGCUUGCAUGUUAAACGUAGUGCUGCAUUCAAUGUCAUGCCUCUUUCGGCCGUUACACAUGUUUGGCACUGGAAGCAAAAUCUCAAAAUAACCCCCUUCCCACUCAUUCAUUUUAAUGAACCCAACCAUGGAGGCUCGCUGCAGGAAAAGGGUGGAAGACUCUUCUGAAAUACGCCAGAGCAAUUGCUUGAGCCCCACCCUUCCCAGAGCAAGAUGCCAAGGUUGCCUCUAGCUACUUUGUAGGAGGGCUUCUCCACACAAGCCCAGCACAUGCAAACAGAGCAGACAAUGCCAUUUCUGGUUCCCACUGCUUUAGGUUGGGUUUUGUUGUCCUAGCGGAGUAACUUUAAACCAGGGUUCCCAUCCCUGAAAUAAUAUCUGCUGCCCCCUCCCCAUAUUUGGUGGUGCUGAUGUUGAGGGCAACAGGAACAUGAGGAAGAGUGUCUGAAACUGCAGCCAAUCCCAUCCAGUUCUGUGGCUCAAGAAUUGUCAUGGGGCCCCAGUUCCUUUUUAUUCCCAACCUUCACAGAAGACAUUUCCUCCCCUGCCUCUCCCCAGUGUCUCUUCCUACUGCUGUUGCUUUAGUUUAAUUUUCAUUUUGUUGCCAGGAGGUUAGGGGGAUGUCAGAGUCAACAUCUGCAAUGGAGAUAACAUUCCUGCCUAAUUAGUGGACUGUGAGCAGAAAGGACUUCCUGUCCCCUCCCCUUAAAGGACAGCAAAACCAGCUUACACUAGAGGAGAAGGAAGGUCCACUCUCCAGCUUGGUGAUGUGUCCAUCAAUACACUCCAGGGAAACUUCUUUCUUUUUUUUUUUGCAGGGUCUCUUGUUUCCCACAGUCUGAGUUCAUCCUCCUACCGCAAAGUUAGCAGUUGCUACUUGGAAACAUAUUUGGAGACUUAAGGCAUUUUUAAGUGUCUUGGAACACCAGAAAUGCUUUGAAGCUUUUUCCAAUUCUGCUCUGUUAUAGAUACCCAGGCAAGGACUUUCCAGACACGCAAGGCAUACCAUGCAGGGGUGUUGCUAGAUACUUAUAAAGACUCUGGGCACCUAAAAUGUGCCUAUGCUAAUAUAGAGGUGUAAGUAUAGUCUGACUUUCCAAGGAGAAGAGCAAACCCUGGUUCUUUCUACCAGGGCUUGCUUUAAGCUAAGAGGUGCCAGCAGGAUUUUCUGGGCCUGGUCAGCAGGACGUCUUGCAAAGCACAAAGCCAGUGAGACCCCAGCUAGCCAUGAACUUAAUUUACAGAAGCUCCAGAUCCACACACAGCAGCAGCCUUUGCCAACCUGGUGCCUCUCCAGAAGUUUUGGACAACUACUCCCAAACUGGACACGGUAGUUUCAUUAGAAAUGGAUAGGACAAUAAGAAAACGGACUCAAAAGAAGGUAGACUAUCUUUGACUUUUUUCAAUCUGGUGGGGAAUUUAAAAUUGACUGAUGUUUGGCAAUUUAGACACCCAUUUGAAAGAGAAUACACCCCUUAUGCAAAGCCAAAUCAAUCUGCCAGAAGAAUUGACUCAAUAUGGCUAUCAAAUGAGUUAAUACUGAGAAUAAAAAGAACUGAAAUACAACCAAAGACUUUAUCAGAUCACAAUCCAGUGUUAUUAGAGGUUAAAUUUAGGUGGAGGUUAAAUAAAAGUAUUCUAGAUAAUCAAGUAACCAUGCAAAAAGCUCUCUCUUUUCUGAUCUAAAAAUUUAAUAGUUGGCAGGAAUCCUUAGGCUUAGUCAAAUGGAGGUUACCUGAGCAUUUCUCAGGCUGGCCCUUAAAUCCACGUUUCCAGUUUCCCAUUCCAUUGCUCAUUCCCGCUCAGCUAACAGCCAGACAAAAGUGUCUCCUCCUCCAAUCUUGGUUUUGCAGAGCCCCUCCUUCCUUGUCUGUGUGCCCUCCAUCCCUUUCUCUUGCACAAUGACUCUUACCAUCACAGAAUCCCCUAUGUGUUGUCUGUAGUUUUAUGAACAUUGUCUGUGUCACCGGUGAGUGCUGCUGUGAAUCAUGCAUGACAGCAUAGCUUCCAUUGUUGCUAGGUUUGAUUUCACUGCUAGGAAAGUGUAAGUGUCCCACUAACUUUACAUCAGUGCCCGAUAAGACCCAACAUAGCGGCAGCAGCCAUCUUAGCUGGACCAUAUGAUUGCACUGAAAGAUGUGUGAAGUGGUCUGAAAUGCAGGACAGGAAUUGCUUGUCUGUAGCGGCUCCAACCUCAUGAAAUUUGCUUUUACUACUAAGACCGCCCUAACCUGAUGUUUCAAAGCUACCUUUCUGGGCAGGGAAGAUCCAUGGUACAGCUGCUGCUGCCUGCAGAGCUUCACUCGUGUUGUGGUGAGGCAGUGCGGUAUAGUGGUUAGAGUGCUGGAUGAGGAGCUGGGAGACCAGGGUUCAAAGCCUUACUCACCCAUGAAACUCACAGGGAGACCUCACCCUAACCUUCCUGCUGUGAGGAUAAAAAGAGGUGGAGAACCAUGGUCAGUACCUUGAGUUCCUUGGAGGAACGUUGGUAUAUGAAUAUAAUAAGGCCUCCCCCUGACAUGACCCCCACAGCAAGCACCCUACUCUUGGUCCCUCCAUGCUUGAAGAAUCACAAGUGAGUCAGUACUGGUGGUAGAUAGCUCAGGGGCUGCAGGCCUUGGCCCAGCAUACCUGAAGGAGCCUCUCCACCCCCAUUGUUCAGCCCAGACACUGAGGUCCAGUACUGAGGGCCUUUUGGCGAUUCCCUCACUGCGAGAAGUGGUUACAGAGAACCAGGCAGAAGGCCUUCUCGGUAGUGGCACCCGCCCUGUGAAACGCCCUCCCAUCAGAUGUCAAGGAAAUAAACAACUACCUGACUUUUAGAAGACAUCUGAGGGCAGCCCUGUUUAGGGAAGUUUUUAAUGUUUGAAGUUUUAUUCUGUUUUUAAUGUUCUCUUGAAAGCUGCCCAGAGUGGCUGGGGAAACCCAGCCAGAUGUGUGGGGUAGAAACAACAACAACAACAACAACAACAACGUGUAGCAGGCAGCUCAGGCCUACAACCCUUCAAUGCUGCUUCCUGCUCAAUAGUAUCUGCUGCCUAAGGCAGUUGCCGCAUGGUGCCCAAUGGCAGGGCUGGGUCUGGCUCCCUGUGAUAUUUAAAACAGAACCACUUCUCACCUGCACCAAAAAUGUGUUGGCACUUCCAGGCCUAAUGUUUCCGGAGCCAGCCAUCCCCAGUCCUUUUUAGAAUGAUAGAGCUGGAAGGGAUUGCAAGAGCUAUCUAAUCCAGCCUCCUACAACACAGGAAUCAAGGGAAGUCUAAUAAAUUGCUAGGGGCACCACAAAAUAUGCCUUUUACAGAAGGAAAACUGCCAAUGCUCAAAACCUCCUCCUGCCCCAACGGGACACUAGGUAAAACCAAUGAAAGUCAGACAAACAAAGCCAGACCACCUCCCAAAAAAGAAAAUUGGGUAACCCAAACGACGACAACAAACAUUAAAAAUAAAACUGGAAGGAGCAGGGCCCAGGGCAGACUUCAAGGGUGGUGUCUGAGGGUAUUGUGGUGUCCACAGAUGCCAUGUUGGUGACCCCAGCUGUAAGCCAUGCCACCCAACUCUUCUGGUUCUGCCUAGGCUUCUUAGCAGCCUCUUCCUGCUAGCAUUGCCUUCCUCCCAUGUCCGUCGCUCACAAGCAUCUACUCUACUUGGAAGAAGCAAAGCUUGCAUCUACACUACCAAAGCUCGAAACAAGUUAAAGUACUGUAUGUCACUCUAAAAGGCUUGUGAUUAGGGAUUAAUAUCCCCAGGGAAAGAAGGAAAAAUGUGGAGAGCUAGAGAGCAUGUUGUGGAUGCAGGGGGAGGCUUCCUGUCCAUUGCCAAAAAGCUGUUUAAUUAUAAACACUGAACAAUAGCUCUUCUUGUUUCUGGAGCUACUAAAUCAGACACCUGCAGGGCUUGAAGGACGACAAGGACCUUCCUGCAUGUGUGUCUGACUUUUGAAAGAAGAAAAAAAACAAAAAACACCCAGCAGUUUACAUUCUGGUUAAUCUUCUUUGUUCCCUGCUGAGUUAACAGUGAAGCGGAAUAUUUCAGCCUCAGAGAGGAGGAUGUGGUUACUCUGCCCUGCCUCUUUGGAGAUGUAGUCUCAUCUUUCAGACAUGUUUCUCUAAGCAGCCAGGGGGGUGAUUUUCUGCAUUAACCCUGAGUGAGCUCUUAGCCUCCUGCAGAGCAUAGUUUAUCCAGCGUUAGUCACUGCCUUAGGGGGAGACGCUGAGAUCCUCCCAUGAUGCUCAAAAAGUACUGCAUAAGACUGCUGCAGGACAGAUUUACUAGCCAACUAUUUAAGGUGCAAUUAAUUUCUACAGCACCCUCCUAGUUCAAAGUGUUUCGCAAACAUCUGCCAGUUGGCACCGGCCAUUACAACAGUUAAGCUUGCAAAAUCAUUUGUUGUCUACUCCCAUCCCCAAAUACAACAUGUUGUUUCUGAUUAGUACAGUAUUUGAUACCUCCGUGUCUGAAAGUAUUGUUUCACACAGAAGGUCUAUCUACCAGUGCUUUCCUUAUCAUCAAACCCCUGAUGAGGGGUGUGAGCUUUUCUUACUGGAAACGUUUCUUCAGACUAUAUAUGGUUUUGUUUUGAUUUUUAAAAAAACACAUAUAAGAUGUUGAUAGAUGGGGGGGUUGUGGUGAAGAAAAGGAUUUGAAAGGAUUUGCAGGCGAAAGAUGGCACAGAUGUGUGCGGCAAAAGAGAAUGGAAUAGAGCAGGGAUGAAGAAUCUGGGGCCCUCCAGAUGCUGCUGGACUGCAACUCCCAUAAUUCCUGUCCACUGGCCAUUCAGGUUGUGGCUGAUGGGCUUUGGAGUCCAAAAAUACCUAGUGGAUGACAGGUUCCCCACCUCUGGAAAAGAGGACCACCCUUUGGAAAGACAAAAGCCAGCCAUUCUCAGACUCUUAACGCUAAUGUUAAUUGGAAUAAGACGUGCCGAUGCCAUUUACGUAACACACAUAUUUUGCAUCAUGUAUACCAAUACCUAUAUUGGGAAUGUGCAAUCUUGGCUUGUGUCUAGACUUAACCAGUGCUACAAAAACCUGUAUGUGGGUCAAGCCUUUAUUUCCCAUGCAGAAGUAACUCCUGAACAGGGAUUUCAUUACAUGCCAAGCAUAAGCACUGGGGUGCCACAGGAACUUCUCGUAAAUCCAUUUCACCAUAUGCAAAUUUAAUACAUGGCCUAUGCCCAAUCAUUUGGCAAAACAAAUCCAGGCAAGCACUCAGCAGCAUCCUACAAAUGAGAGGUGCUGCCUUCAGUAGCUGCAGGUCCAUGGAUCAUAUUGCAACCCCAAUUAACCAGGUGCUUUCCAGAUGAGUUUGGCUACAACUAGCAUGGUCAUGGUGGCUGCAGCUGAUAGGAAUUGUAGUCCAAAACAUAUAGAGGGCACCAGGCUGAUGAAGGUGAUGCACUGCGCUGCAGUUAAUAAUGUGUAUUUAAACUGAAUCCUCUCUCAAAAUAUUUUGGAUGUGCUAGUCCACCAAGCAAUUGGUCUUUCGGGGAUACUAAAUUCAUUGGUUCUGAAGGACUGCCAUCAUAAGAGGAAAGCAGUCUGUUAAGUUUCCAUAGGUACAGUAAAACUUACCAUAGCAAUUCAUUUUAGAUUCUAUAUAUAGGCAUACUGAUGGCUGUGAACAAGGCCAAUGGAAAGAACCAAAAAUGCUGCGCUUGUUUUUGGUAGGUUUCCCCCUGCCUCCCCCCCAAAUCAAGACUAUAUGACUACUUAGGUGUUAUAUGAACCUUCACUACACUAAAGAAGUUUCUAAUCCUAGGUUAAAUUGCUAUGAACAGUGAGAUCCUGCCCAUAACACUCAGGGCUUUUCUACAUUUACCUUUUGCCCUGCCAUUUGCAGGCAGAGGUCAGAGCUUUAACGCUCUGUGUCUGAGUAUUGAGGGUUUUGUGUGUGUGUGUUUUGUUUUUUUUGCAAAGAGCUUUCCCUGCAAAAACCUGCUCUUUAAAGCUGAAUCAGAGCAAAUGUCAAUUUGGGUUUUCCAUGGAUUGUUGUUUGCUCCAACUGAACUUUAAAGAGUGGAUUUUCACAGGGAAAGCUCUGGAGCAAAAAGAAGGGUGCUCGGACACAGAGCUUUAAAUUGUGGACUGUGUCUGGAAAGAGCAGAGGAAAGGUAAGUGUUGAUAAACCCUCAGAUAGCAAGCUUCUAGUGCAUAAAUACUGUGUAGUGUCCAGCUUAUAGGGGCAACUUGAACCUAGGCAAUAACUAAUCAAAACUUGGACAAGGCGGAGAAGAGUACUAGAAGAGAGAUAGCUCAGACGGUAGAGCAUGAGACUCAGAGUCAUGGGCUUGAGCCCCACGCUGGGCAAAGAUACCUGCAUUGUAGGAGGUUGGACUAGAUGACCCUGGGGGUCCCUUCAAAUUCUACAAUUCUAUAAUUCUAAAUAGUCUUGUAAAGAGACUAACCACCAGCCAAGGACAAUCAGAGAUGGAUAUCCUAUUAAUAAGCUCAUUGUGCUAGCCAGAGGCCAUGACAGGUACAUUAUAAAGUUCCUAAAGGCAAACAUAGCAAUAACAUAACAAACGUCAAUAAUAUAAAGGAAGAAAAAUCAAAAGUACCAUCAGCUAGCUCAGCUUCAGAUUUUAAACCCCAAGGCCUCAAAAACAAUUGCUACAAAUAACAUCCUUCUAAGAGCAAACCCACUUCUCUUGAGUGCAGAUCCUUACAUAGCCAAAAUAAUACGUACCAUUAACACACACAAAGGGAUGGAUUGGCAGAUUUGAAGGAACCUCAAGAUUUGCAGAAAUACAAAAAAGUUUUAAGGAGGGGGGAGAGCUAAUUGGGAGUAAUCCCUAAGCAGCCCAGUGAUGACUAAGUAUGCUGAGUGACCACAGAAUGCCAACUCAUUGUUUGGGGUGAGGGGAUGGAAUUAAAUAUCCUGGGGGAAGGCAGGGCUGGGUCUCUGGAACCCCCAAUGGGAACAAUCCACUCCGCAACAUCUUGUUGCAGCUUGCUUUUCUUUUAUGUGAUUUCACAGCCGACGGCUCUAACCACUGGGCUGUACAAUCUCAGGCAUAGUCAGGUUAAAACACCAAGGCUGACGGUCAAGGUAAAAAAUAUAUGUAUAUAAAAAUAAGCGAGACAGGAACAUUCUUCCGUCAGCUAUUUUAGGAACAGGAGGUUUCGAAGUCAGUAGUGCAGUGGUACAUAAAUUGUGAUCACUGAAGCAGAGCAAAGCGUUUUCUGCAAAAGAGGCACACUGCCCUUUUUAGUAAGACAAGAUUAAAACAAUGCAAGCGGGACCUGCAACUAAAUGUUACAGUGCAUCCCCAGUGCCUAAGAGGAGCGUUCCUGUUCCAAGGCUUCAGACAACCUGGAAAAGGAGCCUUACAGUACUUCUGCAGACUUUGAGGAGGAGAGAGAAGUUACAGAAGUGAGGAAGGCAUAAAUAAUGCCUUUCUCAUACACCCCGCCCCACAGCCCCCCAAACCAAAAGAGGGCUAAAGGGUUGCUAGCCGCAUCAAACCUGAGUAUUUUAUAGGUAUCCAAGUGGGAUCUGUAACAAAGUGUUGGAGUGUGGCUGCCAGCCAGCCACGCCCCUUUCCAGGGCACUACAUCCUAUCCUCUCUCCCAACGGUAUGCCUGCAUCUGGGCUCACUGAGAAUACUGUCCUGAUGGGGCUGUUUUUAAGUCUGCCCCCGCACUUACAAUUCCCUUCCCCCUAAAUAUUUUUAGCACUUCUGCAAACCUCAGGGUUCCCCCAAACCUGCCAACACUUCUUUCUCAGAGGACCUCUUUGGCUCUGGGCCUGUCUGCACUGGUCACCUGAGAUGGCUAUUAGAGGGGGGUGAUGACGUGUCUUAAGCUAAACUGGACAGAGAAGCAGCGCUGCAACUAAAAGGGGGUAGAGGGAAAACAGGACAUCUCGAGAAACAGACUUACCCCUGUGUUUUCCAUCCAAACCAGCAGGCAGUUUCCUGGGAUGUAUUUGCACAGUGUGUUGUUGUCUCCUGCCUCUCAUUUAAGACUUCCCCACCCCCACCCCCUGGUUUCCAGAAACCUGAGGCCUUAGGCAUGCACACAGGUAUUUGUUUAUCCGUGCACAUCCAGCCCCACAGGUCGCCCACCCUCCCUGUGCCAUGGAAGCCUGAGGUCCACUGCAGGGUUGCACACAGUCCCCCCCCCCCAAAGCUAUAAUUCUCGGCACCCUUAGCAAACGACAGUUUCCAUGAUUCUUUGUGGGGGAGCCAUGUGCUUUAGAUGCACGGCGUGUCAUGAGAACUUCUGCCGACAUGCUGCUUUAAGUGUUUUCCUUCCCAGCCGUGCAGCAUGACUACAAAGGCCUUUUCGGUGGUGGCCCCUCUGAGUUCUGAGUUCCUUCCCCAAGAGGCUGCACCUGGCAACAAUUUUACAAGUUUUUAGGUACCAGCCAGGCAUUCUUAAUCACCUGGCCAUUUUUGUGUGUGUGUUGUUAAUUGUUUCAAUGUAUAUAGCUCUGAAAAAACUGAAUUUGACAAAAGGGUGGCACAUGUGAAGGCCAAAGAGCAGGCAAGCGCCCUUCUCUUGCUAGUAGUGAUCAGCUAGGGCCCACAGCAAUUCCUUUCUGCAGAGGCAAAAAGGGAGAGGCAAUUAAGUCAGGGCUGGCUGCAUAACAGUAGCAUCUUUGCCCUUCUGCUUCUCUGACAUUUUCAAUUCAUAACUCAAAAAGCAUCCAAAGCCUCAAGAGAUUUUAGGCCAUUUUAAAAGCUGCUAGUGAUUUGGAGAGGGCGAGAGGGAGGAGAUGCAUGUCGCUCUCUUUCUUCUUCGCUGAAAUACUCACAGGUGCCCCCCCCCACUUUGUAUUAGAAAGAAUCAGCAAUUGUGACUGUCACAAAGUGAUGCACAUAUUAGGGGUUGCCAGUAAAUCUCCAGCUUGUUGUACACGAUACCACCCAGGCCCCUGAGCCUUGGAAGGAAGCGAUAAAAUAGCCAAUUUAUGCAGGCUCUUAAAUACACAAUGCAAAGUCACAGUGCCUGCAGCUGUUUUUUCCUGUUCUGUGUUUAUGGCAGGGCACUGAAGUUAACCACUGUAGAAAACAUACCAGGCCUGCUCCCCCUCCCAGACUUUUCCUGCAAGUCGCUGACAAUGCCUCCCUUUGCUACAGGCAGGAAAUGUGCCUGCUCCAACUAUGCAUAGCGCAAGCAUGGAAUUUGGCACCCAGGGCUGGAAAUAAGUCUCGAGAAGCUAAGCUUCUAUCCCUCAUUGUCGCAGAGAACAGUUUCAAGCUGUGAUGAAAACUCUUCAAAUCUGAGACAUGAAAGAGCAUCAGGUCCCAUGAAUCAUGGAGGCAGCCUUAUUUAGAUCCAUUGAAGAAGCACAAGCCCUGCUAGAUCAAACCAACAGCCAAUCUGAUCCAAUAGCCUGCUUCCAGAAGUGGCCAACUGGAUGCCUUUGGGAAUCCCACAAACAGGAUGUGAGUUCAACACCUUUCCUGUUCAUGUUCGCCAACACCUGGUGUUCAGAAGCAUGAUGUCUCUGAUCCUGGAAGUACUAGAUAGUCAAGACUAGUAACCUUUAUGCUCCAUGAAUUUGCCUAUUCCCCUUUGCUUUAAGUUGGUAGCCAGCAUACUUUACCUGCCCCCCCCCAAAGCCAGCAUAGCCAGCAUCACAGCUUAUGGCAACAACAGUAGUGGCAAGUGUCCCUUGAGACUGGUGUAGCAGAUAGCAGGGAGGUCAGGGGUGGGCAGAACCAAAGCGAACUAAUUCUGAUUUUGUCCCCAUCCUCCUCCCUGCUCAGUUCUGCAGGAGGUAAUACUGAGACUAAAGAGGAGGAAGCUGACAGCUAAGGUUGCAGUCUGGACUGGCAGUUGGAGGUUAGGGCAGACAGAGGCUGCUGGGCCAGAGCUCAAAAGGACCAGCCUCCUCUGGGUAGCAAGUUCCAUCCUUUAACUAUGCCCCAUGUUGACAAAGCACUCCUCUAUGAUCUUGUCCUACUAUGCAGCAUCACUGGACACACUAUGAGAGAGGAAGAAGAACGACUGCUCGCUUUCUCCAGAUAUCACCUCCAGGUUACCGAUUGACAACCCUAAAUCAGAAAUAAGACAAGACCCUACUUUGGCUUUCAGUAUUUUGCAACAAGAGAGAGCAUUGUAGUUAGAUGGACAUUGGAGGGAAAACUCUAUGGAGGCAAGACACCAUGGCUUGCAUUCCAUGCAGCAGUAAGUACCGUAUUUUUCGUCCCAUAGGACGCUCCAUCCCAUAGGACGCACCUACUUUUUGGGGGGGGAAAUAAAGGAAAUUUCCCCCCCUUUAUUUCCCCCCCAAAACCAGGUCGGGGAAACCAAACCAGUUCGGGGAACAAGGGUAUGGCGGCGCUGCGCCUCCCCGCUGUCCCCUGAGCUUGUGGGGCUGGCCGAUGUCUGCCCGGCACUAGGGGCGCUCUGCUUCAGGGUGCCUCGCGCAGCAGGCUGCUAUCCGCAGCGUGGGGAGCCCUGCGCGAACUCCUGAAGGGCUGCACACGCUGCGGAUGUCUGCCCGGCGCGAGGGGCGCUCUGCUAUCCGCAGCCUAGGGAGCCCAGCGGGAACUCCUGCAGGCUCCCCAGGCUUGCUGAUAGCUUCCUGAAGCCUGGAGAGCGAGAGGGGUCGGGGCGCACCGACCCCUCUCGCUCUCCAAGCUUCAGCGAAAGCCUGCAUUCGCCCCAUAGGACACACACAGAUUUCCCCUCCAUCUUUGGAGGGGAAAAAGUGCGUCCUGUAGGGCGAAAAAUACGGUAAUUGUCCCAUCUGCACAAGGAUUUACACUUGUGCAAUGGGACGUUUCUCCUCCGCCUGCACAUAGACUCAUCAAAUUGUAGAGUUGGAAGGGACCCCAAGGGUCAUCUAGUCCAAACCCCUACAAUGCAGUAAUCUCAACUAAAGCAUCCAUGACAGAUGGCCACCCACCCUCUGCUUAGAAAUCUCCAAGGAAGGAGAGUCCACCACCGAGUGUGGGAGUUCCUUCCACUGUGAAGCAGCUCUUGUUGUCAGAAAGUUCUUCCUGACGUUUAGUGGGAAUCUCCUUUCUUGUAAUUUGAUUCCAUUGGUUCAAGUCCUACCCUCCAGAGCAGGGGGAAACAAGCUUGCUCCAUAUUCCAUGCGACAGCCCUUUAGAUAUCUGUCUAGCCCCCUCCGCAAAUCUGCUCCACAGGGUUGGGAGAUCCCCCAGAACAGAUUUAUGAGGCAAGCAAAGGGUAGGAGGGUGGGGGGAGCUGAUUUGCACAAGUGUAAUUCCUCAUGCUGACAGGACAGUUAUUUAGCACUGUUCUUGAUACAAGCCCAUGCCCUUUCAAACCAUUCCCAAGAAUCCUUAAUAACGAAUACCUAACAUUUUGUUUGAAGUUUCAUCUACAAAAUUUGAUCCCCAUAGCAAAACCUCUGUAGCAACAGUCAAAGACAAAAUUAAGAGUCUGGCCUCCUCCCUCUUCCUGGCACCAUUUCCUGAAGCUGGCUGGGCAGCCUCCUUGAGGACGCUGGCAGGAACAUUGCUGCCUGGGCAUUUAGGGCUGUCUCAAAGAAAGAGAACUCCUUUAAACCCUUUCUGAUUGCCUUGUGCUGUAAGGAAGUGGGCAAAACUCCCUCCUCUCCAACAAACCCCUUCAGAUCUUGACUCUGUACAUAGAGAGAAGAGGAGCAUGCUAAGAGCCAAGAAAGCGUUAUGUGCAAAAACCAAGGACAAAAAAAAUCAGCUUCAUAAAAAAUCUACAUGUGUCUGCAACAGAAGCAUCUAUGAAGAUAGCAGUGAGUGGUAACGAGCCUUUCAUAUUUGGUUUUUCAGGGUCAAAGCUACUUCCUCAUCCAAAGAGAAAAAGGAUGGGUGUGGCAGGUGAAGAGGCUGGCCACAUGAAGGAAGCAGGCAGCCACCCGUGUGGUUGAAAACAAGACACUUCUAAGGGAAGAGCAGAAGGGGAGAAGCUGGGAGGAUUUACAUUAAAUCACGGG
This is a non-coding RNA of Podarcis lilfordi (Lilford's wall lizard), 16321 nucleotides long. NCBI's taxonomy places the organism in Eukaryota, Metazoa, Chordata, Lepidosauria, Squamata, Lacertidae. The record is from the annotation of a GenBank genome assembly.